UACGGAGGAUGCGAGCGUUAUCCGGAUUUAUUGGGUUUAAAGGGUGCGUAGGCGGGCUUUUAAGUCAGCGGUAAAAAUUCGGGGCUCAACCCCGUCCGGCCGUUGAAACUGGGGGCCUUGAGUGGGCGAGAAGAAGGCGGAAUGCGUGGUGUAGCGGUGAAAUGCAUAGAUAUCACGCAGAACCCCGAUUGCGAAGGCAGCCUUCCGGCGCCCUACUGACGCUGAGGCACGAAAGUGCGGGGAUCGAACAGA
RNAcentral lists this ribosomal RNA (252 nucleotides) under uncultured bacterium. Its description in RNAcentral is "partial 16S ribosomal RNA". It matches the Rfam family "Bacterial small subunit ribosomal RNA", at positions 524 to 776 of the family's 1533-position model. The record is from RNAcentral.